RNAcentral lists this long non-coding RNA (319 nucleotides) under Androctonus crassicauda. Lineage: Eukaryota; Metazoa; Arthropoda; Arachnida; Scorpiones; Buthidae. The record is from RNAcentral.
CGGAAGUUGAAAAACAUUAUGGAGACCGGACUACACACAUAUAUUUGUAACAUAUAUAACAUACCCCUUGUAAUUGUAUAUAUAAAUUUUUUUUCUACAAAUCCUGAUCAUUACUUACUUAUCUCUGAUUAUUGUUUUCAGGUGUCUGGGGAUGGAUGUCCUUGUUUGGUCGGGAGCAUUGGUUCACAUCAAUGGAACCCUCACAGCCUUGCAGUAUUUAGAAUAUUUUAUGCAAUGUACUACUGCCAUCAGUGCAACGCAUCUUCAGCACAGAUGCUGUCCCGGUCAUUCACAAUCGCUCUCCUGUCCACAUGGCCAA